This 387-nucleotide ribosomal RNA is filed under the name uncultured Nitrospina sp. RNAcentral's name for it is "bacterial SSU rRNA". It matches the Rfam family "Bacterial small subunit ribosomal RNA", at positions 29 to 410 of the family's 1533-position model. Lineage: Bacteria; Pseudomonadati; Nitrospinota; Nitrospinia; Nitrospinales; Nitrospinaceae. The record is from RNAcentral.
ACGAACGCUGGCGGCGUGCUUAACACAUGCAAGUCAAGGAGAACGUAUUCUUCGGAAUGCUAUUAAACUGGCGAACGGGUGAGUAACGCGUAGGCAACCUGCCCUAGAGAUCGGGAUAACUUGGCGAAAGCUAAGCUAAUACCGGAUAAGACCACAUUUCAUAAGAAAUGCGGGAAAAGGAGUCUCAAUCUCCACUCGAGGAUGAGUUCGCGGACCAUUAGCUUGUUGGUGAGAUAAAAGCUCACCAAGGCUACGAUGGUUAGCCGGCCUGAGAGGGUGAACGGCCACACUGGAACUGAGACACGGUCCAGACUCCUACGGGAGGCAGCAGUGGGGAAUAUUGCGCAAUGGGCGAAAGCCUGACGCAGCAACGCCGUGUGAGCGAUG